RNAcentral lists this ribosomal RNA (369 nucleotides) under uncultured eukaryote. RNAcentral describes it as "partial 18S ribosomal RNA". It matches the Rfam family "Eukaryotic small subunit ribosomal RNA", at positions 592 to 975 of the family's 1831-position model. The record is from RNAcentral.
CAAUAGCGUAUAUUAAAGUUGUUGCAGUUAAAAAGCUCGUAGUUGGAUUUCUGGUCGGAAGCUCCUGUCCUCUGAUGAGCGUACAAGUGCGUCCUACCAUCCUUCUGUUAACCUUUAAGGCUUUCGCGGCUUUCUAGGGGCUCAGAUAUUUUACCUUGAGAAAAUUAGAGUGUUUCAGGCAGGCUAGCGCCGGAAUACAUUAGCAUGGAAUAAUGGAAUAGGACUUUUGCCUCUUCUGUUGGUCAUGAGGCUCGAGUAAUGAUUAAUAGGGAUAGUUGGGGGCAUUAGUACUUAACUGUCAGAGGUGAAAUUCUUGGAUUUUUGAAAGACGAACUACUGCGAAAGCAUUUACCAAGGAUGUUUNCAUUA